RNAcentral lists this ribosomal RNA (465 nucleotides) under uncultured bacterium. RNAcentral's name for it is "partial 16S ribosomal RNA". It matches the Rfam family "Bacterial small subunit ribosomal RNA", at positions 338 to 795 of the family's 1533-position model. The record is from RNAcentral.
CCUACGGGGGGCAGCAGUAGGGAAUAUUGCUCAAUGGGGGAAACCCUGAAGCAGCAACGCCGCGUGGAGGAUGAAGGUCUUCGGAUCGUAAACCUCUGUCAGCAGGGAAGAACGGUCACUGUGCUAAUCAGCAGUGAAUUGACGGUACCUGCAAAGGCAGCACCGGCUAACUCCGUGCCAGCAGCCGCGGUAAUACGGAGGGUGCGAGCGUUAAUCGGAAUUACUGGGCGUAAAGCGCUCGUAGGCGGUAUGUCAAGUCAAGGGUGAAAUCCCCGCGCUCAACGUGGGAACUGCCUUUGAAACUGGCAAACUGGAGUGUGUGAGAGGAUAGUGGAAUUCCAGGUGUAGGAGUGAAAUCCGUAGAUAUCUGGAGGAACAUCAGUGGCGAAGGCGACUAUCUGGCACAUAACUGACGCUGAGGAGCGAAAGCGUGGGUAGCAAACAGGAUUAGAUACCCUUGUAGUC